GCGGCAGGCCUAACACAUGCAAGUCGCGGGGCAGGCACGGGUAGCAAUACCUGGUGGCGACCGGCGCACGGGUGCGUAACGCGUAUGCAACCUGCCCCCAUCAGGGGAUAGCCCGGCCGAAAGGCGGAUUAAUGCCCCAUAGGCCCAGGGCGCCGCAUGGCGCUAUGGGUAAAGCUCCGGCGGAUGGGGAUGGGCAUGCGUGCCAUUAGCUAGUUGGGGCGGUAACGGCGCACCAAGGCGACGAUGGCUAGGGGGUCUGAGAGGAUGGUCCCCCACACUGGUACUGAGACACGGACCAGACUCCUACGGGAGGCAGCAGUGAGGAAUAUUGGUCAAUGGGCGGAAGCCUGAACCAGCCAAUGCCGCGUGCAGGAUGACGGUCCCUACGGGUUGUAAACUGCUUUUCCCCGGGAAGAAUAAGCCCCUCGUGAGGGGCGAUGCCGGUACCGGGGGAAUAAGGAUCGGCUAACUCCGUGCCAGCCGCCGC
Molecule: ribosomal RNA, 487 nt
Filed under: uncultured bacterium
Lineage: Bacteria
Description: bacterial SSU rRNA
Rfam family: Bacterial small subunit ribosomal RNA
Source: RNAcentral